Molecule: ribosomal RNA, 429 nt
Filed under: Gemmatimonadota bacterium
Lineage: Bacteria; Pseudomonadati; Gemmatimonadota
Description: Gemmatimonadetes bacterium partial 16S ribosomal RNA
Rfam family: Bacterial small subunit ribosomal RNA
Source: RNAcentral
UAGGGAAUUUUCGGCAAUGGACGAAAGUCUGACCGAGCAACGCCGCGUGAGUGAAGAAGGUUUUCGGAUCGUAAAACCCUGUUGUUAGAGAAGAACAAGGACGUUAGUAACUGAACGUCCCCCGACGGUAUCUAACCAGAAAGCCACGGCUAACUACGUGCCAGCAGCCGCGGUAAUACGUAGGUGGCAAGCGUUGUCCGGAUUUAUUGGGCGUAAAGCGAGCGCAGGCGGUUUCUUAAGUCUGAUGUGAAAGCCCCCGGCUCAACCGGGGAGGGUCAUUGGAAACUGGGAGACUUGAGUGCAGAAGGGGAGAGUGGAAUUCCAUGUGUAGCGGUGAAAUGCGUAGAUAUAUGGAGGAACACCAGUGGCGAAGGCGGCUCUCUGGUCUGUACCUGACGCUGAGGCUCGAAAGCGUGGGGAGCAAACAGG